Molecule: long non-coding RNA, 202 nt
Organism: Zingiber officinale
Lineage: Eukaryota; Viridiplantae; Streptophyta; Magnoliopsida; Zingiberales; Zingiberaceae
Exons: 3
Source: RefSeq, a predicted model, not a curated record
UGACCAAAUGGUUCCGAUAGCUAGGUCUUCGGCUGUGAGAUAAUAGGGCAGCAGCCAUAUGAAGGGUGUUGGAUUUGGAAAUCAACAACUCUAUCUUUCUCCGGCCAUGAUCCUUGGUAGCGAGCACUUCUCCGGUUGUGAAUUAACAUAGAGGUUUCCGAUUCAGGAUUCGAGGUGGAUGUGAUCGUCUAGAUUUGUUGAA